CAGGCAUGCUGGAGCCCCGCCAGCGGCGCCUGGUCCAGGGAUCGAUCCAAGCGGACCUGUCACCGGACGGGGCAGAA
RNAcentral lists this non-coding RNA (77 nucleotides) under Mesorhizobium sp. ORS 3359. RNAcentral describes it as "ybhL". It matches the Rfam family "ybhL leader". Rfam says of the family: This family is a putative regulatory RNA structure that is found upstream of an uncharacterized membrane protein in alpha-proteobacteria. Lineage: Bacteria; Pseudomonadati; Pseudomonadota; Alphaproteobacteria; Hyphomicrobiales; Phyllobacteriaceae. The record is from RNAcentral.